UACAGAGGGUGCGAGCGUUGUCCGGAAUCACUGGGCGUAAAGGGCGCGUAGGUGGCGACCCAAGUCUGUGGUGAAAGCUCGCCGCUUAACGGCGAGUCGGCCACGGAUACUGGGUGGCUCGAGCACUGUAGGGGCAGAUGGAAUUCCGGGUGUAGCGGUGGAAUGCGUAGAUAUCGAGAGGAACACCUGCGGCGAAAGCGGCGCACUGGACCACAACUGACGCUGAGGCGCGAAAGCUAGGGGAGCAAACAGG
This 253-nucleotide ribosomal RNA is filed under the name uncultured bacterium. RNAcentral's name for it is "partial 16S ribosomal RNA". It matches the Rfam family "Bacterial small subunit ribosomal RNA", at positions 524 to 776 of the family's 1533-position model. The record is from RNAcentral.